RNAcentral lists this ribosomal RNA (253 nucleotides) under uncultured bacterium. RNAcentral's name for it is "partial 16S ribosomal RNA". It matches the Rfam family "Bacterial small subunit ribosomal RNA", at positions 524 to 776 of the family's 1533-position model. The record is from RNAcentral.
UACGUAGGCAGCAAGCGUUGUUCGGAUUUACUGGGCGUAAAGAGUGCGUAGGCGGUGCUCUAAGUUUGGUGUGAAAUCUCCCGGCUCAACUGGGAGGGUGCGCCGAAAACUGGAGUGCUUGAGUAUGGGAGAGGCAAGCGGAAUUCCUGGUGUAGCGGUGAAAUGCGUAGAUAUCAGGAGGAACACCUGUGGUGUAGACAGCUUGCUGGACCAUCACUGACGCUGAGGCACGAAAGCGUGGGUAGCAAACAGG